UUAAGCGACUAAGCGUACACGGUGGAUGCCCUGGCAGUCAGAGGCGAUGAAGGACGUGCUAAUCUGCGAUAAGCGUCGGUGAGGUGAUAUGAACCGUUAUAACCGGCGAUUUCCGAAUGGGGAAACCCAGUGUGUUUCGACACACUAUCAUUAACUGAAUCCAUAGGUUAAUGAGGCGAACCGGGGGAACUGAAACAUCUAAGUACCCCGAGGAAAAGAAAUCAACCGAGAUUCCCCCAGUAGCGGCGAGCGAACGGGGAGGAGCCCAGAGCCUGAAUCAGUGUGUGUGUUAGUGGAAGCGUCUGGAAAGGCGUGCGAUACAGGGUGACAGCCCCGUACACAAAAAUGCACAUACUGUGAGCUCGAUGAGUAGGGCGGGACACGUGGUAUCCUGUCUGAAUAUGGGGGGACCAUCCUCCAAGGCUAAAUACUCCUGACUGACCGAUAGUGAACCAGUACCGUGAGGGAAAGGCGAAAAGAACCCCGGCGAGGGGAGUGAAAAAGAACCUGAAACCGUGUACGUACAAGCAGUGGGAGCCUCUUAAUGGGGUGACUGCGUACCUUUUGUAUAAUGGGUCAGCGACUUAUAUUCUGUAGCAAGGUUAACCGAAUAGGGGAGCCGAAGGGAAACCGAGUCUUAACUGGGCGUUAAGUUGCAGGGUAUAGACCCGAAACCCGGUGAUCUAGCCAUGGGCAGGUUGAAGGUUGGGUAACACUAACUGGAGGACCGAACCGACUAAUGUUGAAAAAUUAGCGGAUGACUUGUGGCUGGGGGUGAAAGGCCAAUCAAACCGGGAGAUAGCUGGUUCUCCCCGAAAGCUAUUUAGGUAGCGCCUCGUGAAUUCAUCUCCGGGGGUAGAGCACUGUUUCGGCAAGGGGGUCAUCCCGACUUACCAACCCGAUGCAAACUGCGAAUACCGGAGAAUGUUAUCACGGGAGACACACGGCGGGUGCUAACGUCCGUCGUGAAGAGGGAAACAACCCAGACCGCCAGCUAAGGUCCCAAAGUCAUGGUUAAGUGGGAAACGAUGUGGGAAGGCCCAGACAGCCAGGAUGUUGGCUUAGAAGCAGCCAUCAUUUAAAGAAAGCGUAAUAGCUCACUGGUCGAGUCGGCCUGCGCGGAAGAUGUAACGGGGCUAAACCAUGCACCGAAGCUGCGGCAGCGACACUAUGUGUUGUUGGGUAGGGGAGCGUUCUGUAAGCCUGUGAAGGUGUACUGUGAGGUAUGCUGGAGGUAUCAGAAGUGCGAAUGCUGACAUAAGUAACGAUAAAGCGGGUGAAAAGCCCGCUCGCCGGAAGACCAAGGGUUCCUGUCCAACGUUAAUCGGGGCAGGGUGAGUCGACCCCUAAGGCGAGGCCGAAAGGCGUAGUCGAUGGGAAACAGGUUAAUAUUCCUGUACUUGGUGUUACUGCGAAGGGGGGACGGAGAAGGCUAUGUUGGCCGGGCGACGGUUGUCCCGGUUUAAGCGUGUAGGCUGGUUUUCCAGGCAAAUCCGGAAAACCAAGGCUGAGGCGUGAUGACGAGGCACUACGGUGCUGAAGCGACAAAUGCCCUGCUUCCAGGAAAAGCCUCUAAGCAUCAGGUAACAUUAAAUCGUACCCCAAACCGACACAGGUGGUCAGGUAGAGAAUACCAAGGCGCUUGAGAGAACUCGGGUGAAGGAACUAGGCAAAAUGGUGCCGUAACUUCGGGAGAAGGCACGCUGAUAUGUAGGUGAAGCGACUUGCUCGUGGAGCUGAAAUCAGUCGAAGAUACCAGCUGGCUGCAACUGUUUAUUAAAAACACAGCACUGUGCAAACACGAAAGUGGACGUAUACGGUGUGACGCCUGCCCGGUGCCGGAAGGUUAAUUGAUGGGGUUAGCGGUAACGCGAAGCUCUUGAUCGAAGCCCCGGUAAACGGCGGCCGUAACUAUAACGGUCCUAAGGUAGCGAAAUUCCUUGUCGGGUAAGUUCCGACCUGCACGAAUGGCGUAAUGAUGGCCAGGCUGUCUCCACCCGAGACUCAGUGAAAUUGAACUCGCUGUGAAGAUGCAGUGUACCCGCGGCAAGACGGAAAGACCCCGUGAACCUUUACUAUAGCUUGACACUGAACAUUGAGCCUUGAUGUGUAGGAUAGGUGGGAGGCUUUGAAGUGUGGACGCCAGUCUGCAUGGAGCCGACCUUGAAAUACCACCCUUUAAUGUUUGAUGUUCUAACGUGGGCCCCUUACCGGGGUUGCGGACAGUGUCUGGUGGGUAGUUUGACUGGGGCGGUCUCCUCCUAAAGAGUAACGGAGGAGCACGAAGGUUGGCUAAUCCUGGUCGGACAUCAGGAGGUUAGUGCAAUGGCAUAAGCCAGCUUGACUGCGAGCGUGACGGCGCGAGCAGGUGCGAAAGCAGGUCAUAGUGAUCCGGUGGUUCUGAAUGGAAGGGCCAUCGCUCAACGGAUAAAAGGUACUCCGGGGAUAACAGGCUGAUACCGCCCAAGAGUUCAUAUCGACGGCGGUGUUUGGCACCUCGAUGUCGGCUCAUCACAUCCUGGGGCUGAAGUAGGUCCCAAGGGUAUGGCUGUUCGCCAUUUAAAGUGGUACGCGAGCUGGGUUUAGAACGUCGUGAGACAGUUCGGUCCCUAUCUGCCGUGGGCGCUGGAGAACUGAGGGGGGCUGCUCCUAGUACGAGAGGACCGGAGUGGACGCAUCACUGGUGUUCGGGUUGUCAUGCCAAUGGCACUGCCCGGUAGCUAAAUGCGGAAGAGAUAAGUGCUGAAAGCAUCUAAGCACGAAACUUGCCCCGAGAUGAGUUCUCCCUGACUCCUUGAGAGUCCUGAAGGAACGUUGAAGACGACGACGUUGAUAGGCCGGGUGUGUAAGCGCAGCGAUGCGUUGAGCUAACCGGUACUAAUGAACCGUGAGGCUUAACCUU
This 2902-nucleotide ribosomal RNA is filed under the name Escherichia coli. RNAcentral describes it as "bacterial LSU rRNA". It matches the Rfam family "Bacterial large subunit ribosomal RNA". Lineage: Bacteria; Pseudomonadati; Pseudomonadota; Gammaproteobacteria; Enterobacterales; Enterobacteriaceae. The record is from RNAcentral.